GGACUAACGCUGGCGGCGUGCUUAACACAUGCAAGUUGAACGGGGUACUCUGAGUAGUAAUACGAGGAGUACUUAGUAGCGGACGGGUGAGUAACGCGUGAGCAAUCUGCCUUUGUGAGGGGGACAACAGUCGGAAACGGCUGCUAAUACCGCAUGAGACCACAGCUCUGAAUGGAGCAGGGGUAAAAGAUUUAUCGCACAAAGAUGAGCUCGCGUCCCAUUAGCUAGUUGGUGAGAUAACAGCCCACCAAGGCGACGAUGGGUAGCCGACCUGAGAGGGUGAUCGGCCACACUGGAACUGAGACACGGUCCAGACUCCUACGGGAGGCAGCAGUGGGGAAUAUUGGGCAAUGGGCGCAAGCCUGACCCAGCAACGCCGCGUGAGGGAAGAAGGUCUUCGGAUUGUAAACCUCUGUCCUUGGGGACGAAAAAAAAUGACGGUACCCAAGGAGGAAGCUCCGGCUAACUACGUGCCAGCAGCCGCGGUAAUACGUAGGGAGCGAGCGUUGUCCGGAAUUACUGGGCGUAAAGGGUGCGUAGGCGGCGCUGCAAGUCAGAUGUGAAAUCCCCGGGCUUAACCCGGGAUCUGCAUUUGAAACUGCAGUGCUUGAGUGCAGGAGAGGAAAGCGGAAUUCCUAGUGUAGCGGUGAAAUGCGUAGAUAUUAGGAAGAACACCAGUGGCGAAGGCGGCUUUCUGGACUGUUACUGACGCUGAGGCACGAAAGCGUGGGGAGCAAACAGGAUUAGAUACCCUGGUAGUCCACGCUGUAAACGAUGGAUACUAGGUGUGGGGGAGAUACUACCUCUGUGCCGCAGCUAACGCAAUAAGUAUCCCGCCUGGGGAGUACGGUCGCAAGACUGAAACUCAAAGGAAUUGACGGGGACCCGCACAAGCAGCGGAGCAUGUGUGUUUAAUUCGAAGCAACGCGAAGAACCUUACCAAGGCUUGACAUCCCUUGACGUGCAUGGAAACAUGCAUUCCCUUCGGGGCAAGGAGACAGGUGGUGCAUGGUUGUCGUCAGCUCGUGUCGUGAGAUGUUGGGUUAAGUCCCAUAACGAGCGCAACCCUUAUCAUUAGUUGCCAGCGGGUAAUGCCGGGAACUCUAAUGAAACUGCCGGGGAUAACUCGGAGGAAGGUGGGGACGACGUCAAAUCAUCAUGCCCCUUAUGUCUUGGGCUACACACGUGCUACAAUGGCCGGUACAAAGGGCUGCAAAACCGUAAGGUGAAGCGAAUCCCAUAAAACCGGUCCCAGUUCGGAUCGUGGGCUGCAACCCGCCCACGUGAAGCCGGAGUUGCUAGUAAUCGCGAACCAGCAUGUCGCGGUGAAUGCGUUCCCGGGUCUUGUACACACCGCCCGUCACACCACGGAAGUUGGGAGUGCCCGAAGCCAGUGGGCUAACCCGUAAGGGAGGCAGCUGUCGAAGGCAAGAUCAAUGACUGGGGUGAGGUCGUAACAAGGUA
Molecule: ribosomal RNA, 1464 nt
Filed under: metagenome
Description: bacterial SSU rRNA
Rfam family: Bacterial small subunit ribosomal RNA
Source: RNAcentral